CUCUCGCAUCGAUGAAGAACGCAGCGAAAUGCGAUAAGUAAUGUGAAUGCAGAAAUUCAGUGAAUCAUCGAAUCUUUGAACGCACCUUGCGCUCCUUGGUAUUCCGAGGAGCAUGCCUGUNUGAGUGUCAUGGAAUUCUCAACCUGACGGAGUUNUGCUACUCUGACGGGUCGGACUUGGAGGCCUGUGUCGGCUGCUAGCUCAGUUGACUCCUCUGAAAUGCAUUAGCGCGAAUCUUGCGGAUCGCCUUCAGUGUGAUAAUCUAUCUGCGCUGUGGCUGUGAAGCAAUUAAUCGACUUGCGCUUACAAUCGUCUCUCUCGAGACAAAUUAUGACAUCUGGCCUCAAAUCAGGUAGGACUACCCGCUGAACUUAAGCAUAUCAAUAAGCGGAGGAAAAGAAACUAACAAGGAUUCCCCUAGUAACUGCGAGUGAAGCGGGAAAAGCUCAAAUUUAAAAUCUGGCGGUCUUGGCCGUCCGAGUUGUAUUCUAGAGAAGCGUCUUCCGCGC
RNAcentral lists this ribosomal RNA (509 nucleotides) under uncultured fungus. RNAcentral's name for it is "eukaryotic LSU rRNA". The stretch from base 339 to 509 matches the Rfam family "Eukaryotic large subunit ribosomal RNA", at positions 1 to 170 of the family's 3401-position model. Lineage: Eukaryota; Fungi. The record is from RNAcentral.